UAGUUCGAUUCUGGCUCAGGAUGAACGCUGGCGGCAUGCCUAAUACAUGCAAGUCGAACGGAGUGAAGCCUUCGGGUUUCAUUCAGUGGCGAACGGGUGAGUAAUACGCAGGGAACCUGGCCAUGGCAGGGGGAUACACUCUGGAAACGGAGCAUAAGACCCCAUAGGCAGUAAGGCGGCAUCGCCUUACUGUUAAAGAAAGCUGAAAGGCUUUGGCGAUGGAUGGACCUGCGGUGCAUUAGCUUGUUGGUGAGGCAACGGCUUACCAAGGCGAUGAUGCAUAGCCGGCCUGAGAGGGCGGACGGCCACACUGGGACUGAGACACGGCCCAGACUCCUGCGGGAGGCAGCAGUAGGGAAUUUUCGUCAAUGGGCGCAAGCCUGAACGAGCAAUGCCGCGUGAGUGAGGAAGGUCUUCGGACUGUAAAGCUCUGUUGCCGGGGAAAAAGGGGAAAUGCAGGAAAUGGCAUUUCAUGGAUGGUACCCGGCCAGAAAGCCACGGCUAACUACGUGCCAGCAGCCGCGGUAAUACGUAGGUGGCGAGCGUUAUCCGGAAUGAUUGGGCGUAAAGGGUGCGCAGGCGGUCUGUUAAGUCUGAAGGCAAAGGGAUGAGCUCAACUCAUUUAUGAUUCAGAAACUGGCAGACUUGAGGACAGGAGAGGGCGGUGGAACUCCAUGUGUAGCGGUAAAAUGCGCAGAGAUAUGGAAGAACACCAGUGGCGAAGGCGGCCGCCUGGCCUGUGACUGACGCUGAGGCACGAAAGCGUGGGGAGCAAAUAGGAUUAGAUACCCUAGUAGUCCACGCCGUAAACGAUGAGGAGCAGGUGUUGGGAGUGAAAUCUCAGUGCCGAAGCCAACGCAGUGACUCCUCCGCCUGGGGAGUAUGCACGCAAGUGUGAAACUCAAAGGAAUUGACGGGGGCCCGCACAAGCGGUGGAGUAUGUGGUUUAAUUCGAAGCAACGCGAAGAACCUUACCAGGUUUUGACAUCGGAUGCGAAGGCGCAGAGAUGCGCUGGAGGCUAUCAUCCAGACAGGUGGUGCAUGGUUGUCGUCAGCUCGUGUCGUGAGAUGUUCAGUUAAGUCUGGCAACGAGCGCAACCCCCGUGGUAUGUUACUAACGCAUUUGGGCGAGGACUCAUAUCAGACUGCCGGUGACAAACCGGAGGAAGGCGGGGAUGACGUCAAAUCAUCAUGCCCCUUAUGACCUGGGCUACACACGUACUACAAUGGCGUCUACAGAGGGAAGCGACCCUGAGAAGGGAAGCGAAACCGGAAAAGGGCGUCCCAGUUCGGAUUGAAGUCUGCAACCCGACUUCAUGAAGAUGGAAUCGCUAGUAAUCGCGGAUCAGCAUGCCGCGGUGAAUACGUUCCCGGGCCUUGUACACGCCGCCCGUCAAACCAUGGAAGCCGGCAACGCCCGAAGCCGGUGGCAUAACCUUUUAGGAGUGAGCCGUCGAAGGCGGGGCCGAUGACUGGGGUUAAGUCGUAACAAGGUACCC
RNAcentral lists this ribosomal RNA (1499 nucleotides) under uncultured bacterium. RNAcentral describes it as "bacterial SSU rRNA". It matches the Rfam family "Bacterial small subunit ribosomal RNA". The record is from RNAcentral.